AUGUAAAAUGGUUUUAAUCGCCCACUGCCUCGCUAAAAGGAACCUAAUGGAUCGCACACCGUAUAAGGAGGAGAUUGAAGAAACAAUGGAGAUGAGUAAGAAUGAUUAAAUGGUUUAAUCAUUUAUUUAUGGCAAGGAUUAAUUAAUAUGUUAAUUAAUCAAACGAAUAAGUUCGUUAAAGACCUCGGGAUAGUUUUGGACCUUAAGGCCCAAUGGGCUUCGAAUGUCAAGCCCAUUAACAUAAGUUGUAUGACAACUUAAUGAAUAAUGAUUCACAAAGGCCUAAUUAGUCCAAAAUAUCCUAAUGGCCGGCCAUAUUGGU
Molecule: long non-coding RNA, 322 nt
Filed under: Malus domestica (apple)
Lineage: Eukaryota; Viridiplantae; Streptophyta; Magnoliopsida; Rosales; Rosaceae
Description: long non-coding RNA (MDOM_LNC003852)
Source: RNAcentral